This 134-nucleotide ribosomal RNA is filed under the name uncultured eukaryote. RNAcentral's name for it is "partial small subunit ribosomal RNA". It matches the Rfam family "Eukaryotic small subunit ribosomal RNA", at positions 1651 to 1782 of the family's 1831-position model. The record is from RNAcentral.
CCCUGCCAUUUGUACACACCGCCCGUCGCUACUACCGAUUGAAUGGCUAAGUGAGGCUUUCGGACUGGCCCAGGGAGAGUGGCAACGCUCUCCCAGGGCCGGAAAGUUGUCCAAACUUGGUCAUUUAGAGGAAG